GUGGGGAAUAUUGGGCAAUGGGCGAAAGCCUGACCCAGCAACGCCGCGUGAAGGAAGAAGGUUUUCGGAUCGUAAACUUCUAUCCUUGGUGAAGAUAAUGACGGUAGCCAAGAAGGAAGCCCCGGCUAACUACGUGCCAGCAGCCGCGGUAAUACGUAGGGGGCAAGCGUUGUCCGGAAUGAUUGGGCGUAAAGGGCGCGUAGGCGGCCUGGUAAGUCUGGAGUGAAAGUCCUGCUGUUAAGGUGGGAAUUGCUUUGGAUACUGUCGGGCUUGAGUGCAGGAGAGGUAAGCGGAAUUCCCGGUGUAGCGGUGAAAUGCGUAGAGAUCGGGAGGAACACCAGUGGCGAAGGCGGCUUACUGGACUGUAACUGACGCUGAGGCGCGAAAGUGUGGGGAGCAAACAGGAUUAGAAACCCCUGUAGUCC
Molecule: ribosomal RNA, 425 nt
Filed under: uncultured bacterium
Lineage: Bacteria
Description: partial 16S ribosomal RNA
Rfam family: Bacterial small subunit ribosomal RNA
Source: RNAcentral